CCUACGGGAGGCAGCAGUGGGGAAUUUUGCGCAAUGGGCGAAAGCCUGACGCAGCAACGCCGCGUGAGCGAAGAAGGCCUUCGGGUUGUAAAGCUCUGUCAGGGGGAAAGAAGGCACCUGGGUGAAUAGCCCAAGGGCUGACGGUACCCCCAAAGGAAGCCACGGCUAACUACGUGCCAGCAGCCGCGGUAAUACGUAGGUGGCAAGCGUUGUCCGGAAUCAUUGGGCGUAAAGAGCGCGUAGGCGGCUUGCCAGGUCCGAUGUGAAAGCCUGGGGCUAAACUCCAGAACUGCAUCGGAAACCGGCUUGCUAGAGUCUGGGAGAGGGGAGUGGAAUUCCUGGUGUAGCGGUGAAAUGCGUAGAUAUCAGGAGGAACACCGGUAGCGAAGGCGGCUCCCUGAACCAGUACUGACGCUGAGGCCCGAAAGCAAGGGGAGCAAACAGGAUUAGAUCCCCUGGUAGU
Molecule: ribosomal RNA, 463 nt
Filed under: uncultured Thermoleophilia bacterium
Lineage: Bacteria; Bacillati; Actinomycetota; Thermoleophilia
Description: partial 16S ribosomal RNA
Rfam family: Bacterial small subunit ribosomal RNA
Source: RNAcentral